AUGGCAAGGAGGCAAUGCUACUCGGGGUCGAGAUGCAGGGCACACCAGAGGUUGGAGGCGGCACGGAGGAAGGAGAAGGACGGCCGCUGGGCUUGGGGAGUUGUCGAACUUGCUGGAUCUGGCGGGGUCCUAGUGGGGCUUGAGGUGACGGAGCUCCGGCGGGGUCGAGCGUGGCCGAAGGAGGAUCGACAGGGCAGCCAAGGAAGCAGGGCCAAUGCUCCCACGACAUGGCAGCGAGGAGGUAGAGGGGUGUCGGCGUUGAGGAGGUCGGGCGACGGGAGGACCUCCGGUGGCGGUGGAGCUAGGGCUCACCGGAGCAGGGGGUCGCGGGCGCCAUGGCAAGGUCGAGGCGGCGGAGGAAAAAUGGAAAUGAACAUGUGGGUGAAGUUUGAAUCGAACUCAUUUGAAUUUAAUUCAAAUGAGUGUGAGAAGGAAGUGGGUAUUCGGUAG
This 450-nucleotide ribosomal RNA is filed under the name Triticum aestivum (bread wheat). Its description in RNAcentral is "partial small subunit ribosomal RNA". Lineage: Eukaryota; Viridiplantae; Streptophyta; Magnoliopsida; Poales; Poaceae. The record is from RNAcentral.